This 467-nucleotide ribosomal RNA is filed under the name uncultured bacterium. Its description in RNAcentral is "partial 16S ribosomal RNA". It matches the Rfam family "Bacterial small subunit ribosomal RNA", at positions 28 to 506 of the family's 1533-position model. The record is from RNAcentral.
GACGAACGCUGGCGGCGUGCUUAACACAUGCAAGUCGAACGGAAAGGCCCUGCUUUUGUGGGGUGCUCGAGUGGCGAACGGGUGAGUAACACGUGAGUAACCUGCCCUUGACUUUGGGAUAACUUCAGGAAACUGGGGCUAAUACCGGAUAGGAGCUCCUGCUGCAUGGUGGGGGUUGGAAAGUUUCGGCGGUUGGGGAUGGACUCGCGGCUUAUCAGCUUGUUGGUGGGGUAGUGGCUUACCAAGGCUUUGACGGGUAGCCGGCCUGAGAGGGUGACCGGCCACAUUGGGACUGAGAUACGGCCCAGACUCCUACGGGAGGCAGCAGUGGGGAAUAUGGCACAAUGGGCGGAAGCCUGAUGCAGCAACGCCGCGUGCGGGAUGACGGCCUUCGGGUGGUAAACCGCUUUCGCCUGUGACGAAGCGUGAGGGACGGUAAUGGGUAAAGAAACACCGGCUAACUACGU